This 253-nucleotide ribosomal RNA is filed under the name uncultured bacterium. RNAcentral describes it as "partial 16S ribosomal RNA". It matches the Rfam family "Bacterial small subunit ribosomal RNA", at positions 524 to 776 of the family's 1533-position model. The record is from RNAcentral.
UACAGAGGUCCCAAGCGUUGUUCGGAUUCACUGGGCGUAAAGAGUGCGUAGGCGGUCGGGUAAGUCUGACGUGAAAUCUUCAAGCUCAACUUGGAAACUGCGUCGGAUACUAUUCGGCUAGAGGAAUGGAGGGGAGACUGGAAUACUUGGUGUAGCAGUGAAAUGCGUAGAUAUCAAGUGGAACACCAGUGGCGAAGGCGAGUCUCUGGACAUUUCCUGACGCUGAGGCACGAAAGCCAGGGGAGCAAACGGG